UGGGGGAUAUUGCACAAUGGCGAAAGCCUUAUGCAGCGACGCCGCGUGGGGGAUGAAGGCUUUCGGGUUGUAAACCUCUUUCGCUAUCGAACAAGGCCCGCUUAGGGUGGGUUGAGGGUAGGUGGAGAAGAAGCGCCGGCUAACUACGUGCCAGCAGCCGCGGUAAUACGUAGGGCGCGAGCGUUGUCCGGAAUUAUUGGGCGUAAAGGGCUUGUAGGCGGCUUGUUGCGCCUGCUGUGAAAACGCGGGGCUUAACUUCGCGCGUGCAGUGGGUACGGGCAGGCUUGAGUGUGGUAGGGGUGACUGGAAUUCCAGGUGUAGCGGUGGAAUGCGCAGAUAUCUGGAGGAACACCGAUGGCGAAGGCAGGUCACUGGGCCAUUACUGACGCUGAGGAGCGAAAGCAUGGGUAGCGAACAGG
RNAcentral lists this ribosomal RNA (419 nucleotides) under bacterium. RNAcentral describes it as "partial 16S ribosomal RNA". It matches the Rfam family "Bacterial small subunit ribosomal RNA", at positions 355 to 776 of the family's 1533-position model. The record is from RNAcentral.